AACUUUCAACAACGGAUCUCUUGGUUCUGGCAUCGAUGAAGAACGCAGCGAAAUGCGAUAAGUAAUGUGAAUUGCAGAAUUCAGUGAAUCAUCGAAUCUUUGAACGCACAUUGCGCCCCUUGGUAUUCCGGGGGGCAUGCCUGUUCGAGCGUCAUCAA
This 158-nucleotide ribosomal RNA is filed under the name Ciborinia foliicola. Its description in RNAcentral is "5.8S ribosomal RNA". It matches the Rfam family "5.8S ribosomal RNA". From Rfam's summary of the family: 5.8S ribosomal RNA (5.8S rRNA) is a component of the large subunit of the eukaryotic ribosome. It is transcribed by RNA polymerase I as part of the 45S precursor that also contains 18S and 28S rRNA. Lineage: Eukaryota; Fungi; Ascomycota; Leotiomycetes; Helotiales; Sclerotiniaceae. The record is from RNAcentral.